AAGUUAGACAGAACCAGAGGAAAGUCAGAAUGAGGAUUCCUAGCUGGAGAUUUAACCAGAACAGAGUUAUUCCAGUGACUUUCCAGCUUCAAAUUUGGAGGCAAAUUUUCCAUCAAAGGAUUAAGUACCAGUAUCUUCGAAUGCUGAUGAAGUGUUACUUAAGUCUCAUCAAUUCACAAUUUCUUAUCAUAUACACUACAUACACAAAUUUUCGAUCUUUCACAGGACAUUAGCAAAAUUAGGCAAACUGGACUAGCAUGACCAAAAAAGAUGUUACAGAGCACACACAAUUCUGACAGGGCAACGAUCAGGAAGUAGUUUUCUUUAGGAAACAAUUCUACUAAAAACAUGGGAAUAGAAGUCAUUUAGAAUAUCCAAGGCAGGGGUCGGGGAUUUAGCUCAGUGGUUUCACCGCCUGCUUUGCAAGUGCAAGGACCCGAGUUCGAUCCUCGGUACCAAAAAACCCCCCAAAAAUCCAAGACAUAUUAAAUGCACGACUGUGACUCCAAAUUACCAUUUAGUAUGCUUUAUAUUACAGGAUAUAAAACUAAUCCCCACCUGUGGAAUGUUAAGCUGACACCCAGGACAGUCAAAGCCUGCCAUAAUUCAAUAUCCCACUAUUUUCUGGUUGUACCAAAAAAUAAACAACCAGCAAAUGAUUUCACGUCUAAAAAAAAAAUCAUUUACACUUAAAAAAUGCGAUGAGGUGGGAUUCCCUCCUUUUUAAAAAUGUUUCUAGAGCUGCUAAAAAACUUGCGUUUACAAAAUAGCUGACAAAAAUAUUCCUCUGGAUUGUACGAGAAGGGAGACAGGGAGCACUGGUAAGACGCGGUGUGCUCAGUCAGACUUGGCUUCUUUUGCUUCCGUUUCUUUGGAGGCUGGGCUCUCCCCGUUUUUAGUUUCUCCGUUUUCCGUGGGUAAAUCUUCCUUAGGUUCUUGAUUAGGCACUUCAGCCUGUUUUCCUUUUGCUCCCCUUUUCCCUUUGGCUUGCCCUUUUUUGUCGGAAGAUUUAUUCUUUCCCGCUUUUUUGGCUUCGUUUCCACUUUUGCAGGAGCAGGUUUAGCCGACAACCUCGCCGAUCUCCUCUUGGGCUCCUCCUUCGCCGCCCCUUCGGGGGAGCUGGCCUUCCUCUUGGGCAUCUUGGCGUCGCGGGGUGUGCGUGCGGAAGCUGGAGCUGCGACGCACGGGAGCCUUGCGGAACUACGCUGCGCGGCCACUGCCGCUCCUCCCGCCGCCAGAGCUCUGGGCUUUGUGUUCUGAGACACGGUAUCCCUUUCCCCCCAAGAACCUAAGAAGGGAGAGAGUGUAGGAUAUAGAAUCAUUUUUAUGAGGGGAUGCAAAGCAAAAGGUCAUCAACAUAUUGGAGCAGGUGGCUGGGGGUAAGGCCAAGGGAUUGAAGGUCCUUUUGUAAUGCUUGGCCAAAGAAGUGGAAGCUAUCCCCAAAUCCCUGGGUAAGAACUGUCCAUGUGAGUUGUUGGGUGAACAGAGAUAUGGGGUCUGUCUAGGUAAAGGCAAAAAGUUAUUGGGAGUCAAGGCUAAGGGGAAUACUAAGGAAGGCAUCUUUGAGGUCUAAACAGGAAAGGAUUGAAUAUUGGGGGGAUGUGGGAAAGGAGGGUAGGGGUUGGGGACCACUGGGUGAGUGGGAACAACAGCUUCAUUAAUCUUUCCAAGAUCUUGGACUAAUCAGAAGGAGCCAUCAGUGUUUUUUUUUUUUUUCUCGGAAGAACGGUAGUAUUGGAGGAGAGUGGGUAGAGAUGAGAAUUGGGGCUUUAAAAAGGCAGUUGAUAAUGGGCUGAAGGCCAAGAUGGCCAUCGGGGAUAAGGAGGUAUUGGUUGACUCUAACAGCUCGAGUUGGGUCCCUCAGGGCCAUUUUGAGGGGUUGGUGGUAUAAGGCUAAGGAAGGGUUUUUUUGUGUCCCAAGCAAUAGGAUCAACUUAUGAUUUGAUGAGUUGGAUUGCCUCAGAGGGGAAGGUCUUAUUAGUCAGUAUGACUGCUAGAAUAAGGAAGGGCUCAGAAGGAAGUGAGGGAAUAUAUAUAGAUGGCCCCAAGUGAUGGAGACCAUGUCUUCCUAAAAGGGGUGUGGGGCAGUGGGGGAUUAACA
Molecule: long non-coding RNA, 2101 nt
Filed under: Heterocephalus glaber (naked mole-rat)
Lineage: Eukaryota; Metazoa; Chordata; Mammalia; Rodentia; Bathyergidae
Description: lncRNA (ENSHGLG00100051999.1)
Source: RNAcentral